This 468-nucleotide ribosomal RNA is filed under the name uncultured bacterium. Its description in RNAcentral is "partial 16S ribosomal RNA". It matches the Rfam family "Bacterial small subunit ribosomal RNA", at positions 28 to 507 of the family's 1533-position model. The record is from RNAcentral.
GACGAACGCUGGCGGCGUGCUUAACACAUGCAAGUCGAACGGCAAGGCCCUGCUUUUGUGGGGUUCUCGUUUGGCGAACGGGUGAGUAUCACGUGUGUAUCCUGCCCUUGACUUUCGGAUAUCUUCAGGAAACUGGGUCUAAUACCGUCUAUUAGCUCCUGCUUCAUGGUGUUGUUUGGUUAUUUUCGGCGGUUGGGUAUGUACUGGCGGCUUCUCAGCUUGUUGGUGGGGUAGUUGCUUACCAAGGCUUUGACGGGUAGCCGGCCUGUGAGGGUGACCGGCGACAUUGGGAAGGAGAUACGGAACAGAGGAGAACGGGAGGAAGGAGGGGGGAAUAGUGGAGAAAGGGCGGAAGCCUGAUGAAGAAACGCCGGGUGCGGGAUGACGGCCUGCGGGUUGUAAAACGAUUUAGCAUGUGACGAAGAGUGAGUGACGGUAAUGGGUAAAGAAGCACCGGCUAACUACGUG